This 1957-nucleotide long non-coding RNA is filed under the name Trifolium pratense (red clover). RNAcentral's name for it is "long non-coding RNA (TPRA_LNC006990)". The record is from RNAcentral. Lineage: Eukaryota; Viridiplantae; Streptophyta; Magnoliopsida; Fabales; Fabaceae.
AGGAAAGGAUCAACUAAAAGUGGACAUGGAAAUAUGUAUCGAACUUUUAUUCUACAAUAAACAAGUCCAAAUCUAACACUUGAAAUUUAUAACAACACAAAUAAAUUUAAUGAGAAACUUAUGACAUAGAUAAAAUGGUGAAUGAAGUGCAUUAACUUAAUCAAUUUAGGACAUGUACAGUGUAACUAGAAUAAGGCUAGAUUAAUAACUUCAACUCAUACCUAGUACCUACAUAAGUAUAUAUUAACCUAAAUAGAUGAGUGGAGUAGAGAAACUUGAAAGAGUAGGCAUUCCAAACAACAAAAUCAACAGAUACUCACAAUAGGAUGGGCAAGUAGCUCUCGAAAGUUGUAGAUGUUUUUUUGAACAAGGUAGUUGUAGAUGUUAUCUCCCAGCAGGGCAUAAAUGCCAAAUCCUAACAGAUCACAAAAAAAAAGAACUGGAUUGAAAUGCAAAAAAUUUGAACGGACUUAUACAGUACAAUUUGAAAAGUUACCGAAUUUAGCCAUCUUCCAAAUUGUUAUGAAACUGCCACAUCUAGCCAAAACUGCCAACUGCAGAAAAACUUCAGUUCUGGAGCAGUAAAAGAUAAACUCUUUAGUGUAGAGUUCUAACCUCAAAUUGAUAUAUCCCUUGCAUAAGAAAAUGAGAUUAUAAUGAAUGUUCCAAUACUAAACACAAAUGCUGAUCUUGAAACAUCUUUCCACGUUAUUAAAUCCACUUAAGAAGAGNNNNNNNNNNNNNNNNNGAAUUAUUAUUAUUAGUUGGUAUAAAUUGAAUUGAAUGAAAAUUUGUAACACGCAAUCACAUAAUUAAAGAUGAGAGAGUCACCUAGACUCUGCAACUUGCUUUGGUUUUGUGGAAAAAGCUAUUAUGUUCUUCUUCCUUUGGACCCAAACCUUAAAAAUCAGUAACACAAUUUUUUUUUAUAAAAAUAAUAAUAAGGUAAACAAAUUAAACCCAAAAGUAAGAAAUUGAAACUGAAUAUAAUAAUAGUUCAAGUGAUCAAAUGCCAAAUCCUAACAGAUUACAAAAAAAAUGUGCAUUCACUAAUAUCAUAUCAUAUAUGCAGAUAAAUAGAAAAUAAACCAUAGACUACUAUGAACUCUCAUGUAACUCUCAUGAUUUGAGACAGCAAAAAAGGAAUAAAUAUAUCAACAAAACAUUUCACAGUCAAUAACAUACCCGUUUGAGUGAAUCAGAGAGUGACUCCACUGCUAUGCAUACUCAGUAAUAGCUCGCAUACACAGCUGGAUCAAUAUAUGUCAUGUUGUCUAGUGGCUUGCAGUUUCUCAAUGACCCCUUUAAAAAUAAGUCAAAUUUAAUGAGUCACUUUAAGUGCUCUGUCAUACUACUUUGGUGUAAGAAGUGGANNNNNNNNNNNNNNNNNNNNNNNNGAAAAAAUAACAGGUGAUUACCAACACCCAAAAACAACUUUGUCUUCUAAAUUAAAUCAAUUUUGCAAAUUCAAUUGUAAGCAUACCUUAAUGACGGCAGUUUGAGUUGUGAAAGCAUGACGACGAACGAGUACGACUAUUGACGGUUAAAUUCGUGGGUUAUUGGAUUAAGGUUCUUGGAGAGAAGAUGAUUUUUGGGUUAUGGGUUAGGGUUCACAGUGGUUUAUGGGUUCUUGGAUAUUAGGAUUGACGAGUGUGAUUGGAGAAGACGAGUUGAACGAUUAAUCUGGGAAACAACUUAUCUGAGUUCCGAUUGCUCUAACUUCAAUUUAUCUGGGAAUCAACCUCUCUGAGUUCCGUUUGCUCUGAGUUUGAUUACAGAGGACCGAGAUUCCUUUCGGUUUGAAGCCACAAGACGAUCGAUUUUGAAUCUUAGGGUUUGAGUUCAAUGUUUGGUGGGAAUGGUUUGAAGAAGUUAGAAGAAUAUUGAUUUUUUUUCUAGGGUUUGAAUUCAAUUUUUCCUGGAAGUGGAUUGAAGAUCGUGGUGAUAAAUUAGUGAU